GUACGGGAGGCAGCAGUGAGGAAUAUUGCGCAAUGGAGGCAACUCUGACGCAGCCAUGCCGCGUGCAGGAAGACGGUCCUAUGGAUUGUAAACUGCUUUUAUACGGGAAUAAACUUUCGUACGUGUACGGAAUUGAAUGUACCGUAAGAAUAAGCAUCGGCUAACUCCGUGCCAGCAGCCGCGGUAAUACGGAGGAUGCAAGCGUUAUCCGGAUUUAUUGGGUUUAAAGGGUGCGUAGGCGGAAUUGUAAGUCAGUGGUGAAAUCUUGCAGCUUAACUGUAAAAUUGCCAUUGAUACUGCUAUUCUUGAGUACAGUUGAAGUAGGCGGAAUGUGUAAUGUAGCGGUGAAAUGCUUAGAUAUUACACAGAACACCGAUUGCGUAGGCAGCUUACUAAGUUGUAACUGACGCUGAGGCACGAAAGCGUGGGGAUCGAACAGGAUUAGAUACCCCGGU
This 455-nucleotide ribosomal RNA is filed under the name uncultured bacterium. RNAcentral describes it as "bacterial SSU rRNA". It matches the Rfam family "Bacterial small subunit ribosomal RNA", at positions 339 to 791 of the family's 1533-position model. The record is from RNAcentral.